AAAGUUUCUAUCGCCUACCAUGAUCACGAAGGUGGCUUUCCCAGGGCGAGGCUUAUCCAUUGCACUUCGGGUGUGCUGACCCCUGCGAUUUCCCCAAAUGUGGGAAACUCAACUGCAUAAUUUUUGGUACUGGGGGACUGCGUUCGUGCUAUUCCCUG
RNAcentral lists this small nuclear RNA (158 nucleotides) under Echinops telfairi (small Madagascar hedgehog). RNAcentral describes it as "U1 spliceosomal RNA (ENSETEG00000023503.1)". It matches the Rfam family "U1 spliceosomal RNA". Rfam says of the family: U1 is a small nuclear RNA (snRNA) component of the spliceosome (involved in pre-mRNA splicing). Its 5' end forms complementary base pairs with the 5' splice junction, thus defining the 5' donor site of an intron. The record is from RNAcentral. Lineage: Eukaryota; Metazoa; Chordata; Mammalia; Afrosoricida; Tenrecidae.